UGUUUAUGUGGAUUAAUAUAAAGAUUGUGAGGCUGUUAACCUUGAGGUGGGCUGGUGCUCCGUAGACGA
RNAcentral lists this transfer RNA (69 nucleotides) under Schistosoma mekongi. Its description in RNAcentral is "tRNA-Asn". The record is from RNAcentral. Lineage: Eukaryota; Metazoa; Platyhelminthes; Trematoda; Strigeidida; Schistosomatidae.